Molecule: transfer RNA, 72 nt
Filed under: Camelus bactrianus (Bactrian camel)
Lineage: Eukaryota; Metazoa; Chordata; Mammalia; Artiodactyla; Camelidae
Also listed under: 2 other names
Rfam family: tRNA
About the family: Transfer RNA (tRNA) molecules are approximately 80 nucleotides in length. Their secondary structure includes four short double-helical elements and three loops (D, anti-codon, and T loops). Further hydrogen bonds mediate the characteristic L-shaped molecular structure. tRNAs have two regions of fundamental functional importance: the anti-codon, which is responsible for specific mRNA codon recognition, and the 3' end, to which the tRNAs corresponding amino acid is attached (by aminoacyl-tRNA synthetases). tRNAs cope with the degeneracy of the genetic code in two manners: having more than one tRNA (with a specific anti-codon) for a particular amino acid; and 'wobble' base-pairing, i.e. permitting non-standard base-pairing at the 3rd anti-codon position.
Source: Rfam by way of RNAcentral
GAGGGUAUAGCUCAGUGGUAUAGCGCCUGCUUAGCAUGCACAAGGUCCUGGUUUCAAUCCCUAGUUCCUCCU